This 1610-nucleotide long non-coding RNA is filed under the name Homo sapiens (human). RNAcentral's name for it is "non-protein coding lnc-MGAT1-4:9". The record is from RNAcentral. Lineage: Eukaryota; Metazoa; Chordata; Mammalia; Primates; Hominidae.
CAGGCCCCGCCUCCCGGCGUCCCCGCCCCCUGCUGGGCCUCUCUCCGCAGCCGCGAGACCCGCGCUUGGCGCAUAGGCCGGUUCUAAUUUACAAGAACACCGCGGCCUGAGGCCGGAGAGUCCCUUCAACCCGGGAGGCGGCGGCUGCAGGGAGCCGAGACGGCGCCAUUGCCCUCCAGCCUGGGCAAAAAGAGCGAAACUCCGUCUCAAAAAAAAAAAAACAUGGCCGAAACCAGGAAGCUGCGCGAUGGCGCCACGGCCCCUCUUCUCCCGGCCUGUGUCCGGAAGGUUUCCCUCCGAGGCGCCCCGGCUCCCGCAAGCGGAGGAGAGGGCGGGACGUGCCGGGGCCGGAGCUCAGAGGCCCUGGGGCCGCUCUGCUCUCCCGCCAUCGCAAGGGCGGCGCUGACCUGAGGCCUCCCCGCAAAGGUCCCCGAGGCGGCGGCGGCGGCGGGCUGUGAGAACCGCAGAAGAACGCUGGGCGCGCAGCGACCCGUCCACCCCCGCGAGGAGAGACUUCCACAGAGGCAGCGUUUCCACAGCCCAAAGCCACGUUUCUAGGGUGAUGCAGCCCCAGUAAGUUCCUGGCGGGGAAGCUCACGGCUGUCAAAAGAACUCUUCGCUCCAGCCGGCGCACGAAGGGGAGGAGGGCAGGAGGCUGCCGCCCGCACAGGUCAUCUGAUCACGUCGCCCGCCCUAGUCUGCUUUUGUGAAUCUCCACUUUGUUCAACCCCCACCCGCCGUCUCUCCCUCCCUGCGCCUUCCCUCUAACCUUAAAGACCCAGCUACCUCUACGCAAAUGGUAGCUACCUCUGCGCAGGUGGAAGUUGAGUUCGGUUCACGCGGGACCCUCUUCCCUGUGGCAAGCUGCUGAAGGAGACCUGCUGUUACUGCUUUAGCUGCUGUUCUGCUUAAUCUCAGACAGCUGGAAGGUAGUAUUCCGCCCUCGCCCAGCCACCCGAGUAAAUGAGAAUGAUGACUGACUGAGACCCUGAUGGUGGUGGCUUAGGCUUAAUCUCAGACAGCUGGAAGGUAGUAUUCCGCCCUCACCCAGCCACCCGAGUAAAUGAGAAUGAUGACUGACUGAGACCCUGAUGGUGGUGGCUUAGGCAAGAUGAACGUCUGAAAUGGAGGCCCAGGGCUGCCACGAUGGCUCUGUAGUCAUCAGGGAGGGAGCUCCUUUUAUCUUGUUACCUACUCCCCUCUUGUGCCCCUUUCUUCCCUUGAUCUAAGAAGGUUGCUCCGGAUCUCGCCAUCUGGCCUGCGUUCAAUCAGCAGAAGCUUCCUGGAGGAGCAGGAGGAGGCACUGUGCUCGCAUCACAUACCAGUGGCCAGAAGUUGGCUUCAGGGAAGCUCAGGAAAUAGGAUGCGAGAAGCCAUGAGACCUCCCCAAACUCUGCAGUAACAGAGUCAACAAGACAAUGGCUUAAAGAUGGAGAGACCAGUUGAUCGGUCACACAAGCUGUUCCACGAUAAUUCUUGUGUCAGAAGGGGAGGCUGACUACCAGGACCACUGGCCCCACUUCCAGCCCCUCCAUUCUGAGUACACUUCAGAGGGCUCUGGCAGGGUGAGGGGGUCUUGGUGGUGCCACAGAGAGUAAAGGUCUAGCACA